UACGUAGGGUGCAAGCGUUGUCCGGAAUUAUUGGGCGUAAAGAGCUCGUAGGCGGUGUGUCGCGUCGGCCGUGAAAACCUGCAGCUUAACUGUGGCUUGCGGUCGAUACGGGCAUCACUGGAGUUCGGCAGGGAGACUGGAAUUCCGUGGUGAUAGCGGUGGAAUGCGCAGAUAGUCAGGAGGAACACCGGUGGCGAAGGCGGGUCUCUGGGCCGGUACCGA
This 222-nucleotide ribosomal RNA is filed under the name uncultured bacterium. RNAcentral's name for it is "partial 16S ribosomal RNA". It matches the Rfam family "Bacterial small subunit ribosomal RNA", at positions 524 to 743 of the family's 1533-position model. The record is from RNAcentral.